RNAcentral lists this transfer RNA (76 nucleotides) under Chelus fimbriata (Mata Mata). RNAcentral describes it as "tRNA-Lys". The record is from RNAcentral. Lineage: Eukaryota; Metazoa; Chordata; Testudines; Chelidae.
UCACUACAGAAGCUUAUAAGAGGUAUAGCACUAGCCUUUUAAGCUAGAAAUAGAGGCCACCCAACCUCCUUAGUGA